GGCGGCGUGCUUAACACAUGCAAGUCGAACGAAGAAGGUUAGAAUGAGAGCUUCGGCAGGAUUUCUUUCCAUCUUAGUGGCGGACGGGUGAGUAACGUGUGGGCAACCUGCCCUGUACUGUGGAAUAAUCAUUGGAAACGAUGACUAAUACCGCAUGUGGUCCUCGGAAGGCAUCUUCUGAGGAAGAAAGGAUUUAUUCGGUACAGGAUGGGCCCGCAUCUGAUUAGCUAGUUGGUGAGAUAACAGCCCACCAAGGCGACGAUCAGUAGCCGACCUGAGAGGGUGAUCGGCCACAUUGGGACUGAGACACGGCCCAAACUCCUACGGGAGGCAGCAGUGGGGAAUAUUGCACAAUGGGCGAAAGCCUGAUGCAGCAACGCCGCGUGAAGGAUGAAGGGUUUCGGCUCGUAAACUUCUAUCAAUAGGGAAGAAACAAAUGACGGUACCUAAAUAAGAAGCCCCGGCUAACUACGUGCCAGCAGCCGCGGUAAUACGUAGGGGGCAAGCGUUAUCCGGAAUUACUGGGUGUAAAGGGAGCGUAGGCGGCAUGGUAAGCCAGAUGUGAAAGCCUUGGGCUUAACCCGAGGAUUGCAUUUGGAACUAUCAAGCUAGAGUACAGGAGAGGAAAGCGGAAUUCCUAGUGUAGCGGUGAAAUGCGUAGAUAUUAGGAAGAACACCAGUGGCGAAGGCGGCUUUCUGGACUGAAACUGACGCUGAGGCUCGAAAGCGUGGGAGCAAACAGGAUUAGAUACCCUGGUAGUCCACGCCGUAAACGAUGAGUGCUAGGUGUCGGGGAGGAAUCCUCGGUGCCGCAGCUAACGCAAUAAGCACUCCACCUGGGGAGUACGACCGCAAGGUUGAAACUCAAAGGAAUUGACGGGGGCCCGCACAAGCGGUGGAGCAUGUGGUUUAAUUCGAAGCAACGCGAAGAACCUUACCAAGGCUUGACAUCCCGAUGACCGUCCUAGAGAUAGGACUUCUCUUCGGAGCAUCGGUGACAGGUGGUGCAUGGUUGUCGUCAGCUCGUGUCGUGAGAUGUUGGGUUAAGUCCCGCAACGAGCGCAACCCUUAUCUUCAGUAGCCAUCAUUCAGUUGGGCACUCUGGAGAGACUGCCGUGGAUAACACGGAGGAAGGUGGGGAUGACGUCAAAUCAUCAUGCCCCUUAUGUCUUGGGCUACACACGUGCUACAAUGGCUGGUAACAAAGUGACGCAAGACGGCGACGUUAAGCAAAUCACAAAAACCCAGUCCCAGUUCGGAUUGUAGUCUGCAACUCGACUACAUGAAGCUGGAAUCGCUAGUAAUCGCGAAUCAGCAUGUCGCGGUGAAUACGUUCCCGGGCCUUGUACACACCGCCCGUCACACCAUGGGAGUUGGAGGCACCCGAAGUCGGUGACCUAACCGUAAGGAAGGAGCCGCCGAAGGUGAAGCCAGUGACUGGGGUGAAGUA
Molecule: ribosomal RNA, 1450 nt
Filed under: uncultured organism
Description: SSU rRNA
Rfam family: Bacterial small subunit ribosomal RNA
Source: RNAcentral